AUUGAACGCUGGCGGCAUGCCUUACACAUGCAAGUCGAACGGUAACAGGUCUCCGGCUGCUGACGAGUGGCGAACGGGUGAGUAAUACAUCGGAACGUGUCCAGACGUGGGGGAUAACGAGGCGAAAGCUUUGCUAAUAUCGCAUACGAUCUAAGGAUGAAAGCAGGGGACCGCAAGGCCUUUCGCGUUUUCAGCGGCCGAUGGCGGAUUAUGUAGUUGGUGGGAUAAAAGCUUACCAAGCCGACGAUAUGUAGCUGGUCUGAGAGGAUGACCAGCCACACUGGGACUGAGACACGGCCCAGACUCCUACGGGAGGCAGCAGUGGGGAAUUUUGGACAAUGGGCGAAAGCCUGAUCCAGCAAUGCCGCGUGCAGGAUGAAGGCCUUCGGGUUGUAAACUGCUUUUGUACGGAACGAAAAGGCUCUGGCUAAUACCUGGGGCACAUGACGGUACCGUAAGAAUAAGCACCGGCUAACUACGUG
Molecule: ribosomal RNA, 482 nt
Filed under: uncultured bacterium
Lineage: Bacteria
Description: partial 16S ribosomal RNA
Rfam family: Bacterial small subunit ribosomal RNA
Source: RNAcentral